This 430-nucleotide ribosomal RNA is filed under the name uncultured bacterium. Its description in RNAcentral is "bacterial SSU rRNA". It matches the Rfam family "Bacterial small subunit ribosomal RNA", at positions 355 to 776 of the family's 1533-position model. The record is from RNAcentral.
UGGGGAAUAUUGGACAAUGGGCGAAAGCCUGAUCCAGCCAUGCCGCGUGUGUGAAGAAGGCCUUAGGGUUGUAAAGCACUUUAAGCAGGAAAGAAAAGCGCCGGAUUAAUACUCCGAGCGUAUUGACGGUACCUGCAGAAUAAGCACCGGCUAACUCCGUGCCAGCAGCCGCGGUAAUACGGAGGGUGCAAGCGUUAAUCGGAAUUACUGGGCGUAAAGCGUGCGUAGGCGGUUGCGUGUGUCGGAUGUGAAAGCCCCGGGCUCAACCUGGGAAUUGCAUUCGAAACUGCGUGACUAGAAUGUGGUAGAGGAAGACGGAAUUCCACGUGUAGCGGUGAAAUGCGUAGAUAUGUGGAGGAACACCAAUGGCGAAGGCAGUCUUCUGGGCCAACAUUGACGCUGAGGUACGAAAGCGUGGGUAGCAAACAGG